UCUGGACGGGGAAGGAUGCAUAAAUGAAUUAUCUGUGAUUCCAGGUCUUGGCUGCACUGAUAACUUCUAAACAAAGGAAUCAGUCAUGAAGUUUAUGAAACUUGGUUGCCCUGAUAACUUCUCACGCUAUAAGAAGUGCCGAGUUAAAUGAACAUUUGAAGCUUAUAUAUGCCUGGAGGGACAGAAUUUCCACUCUACAAAGCACGAAGGUGAUGACCUUUCAGAUCAGUACACAAAUGAGCUUCUGGGCUGUUGUAUGAGGUAAAAGUGCUCGAACCUCUUGGGACAGUCACUUCUGGCUGUCAGUUCUUGGAGCCAGAUGGUAAUACUGAACUCUAGCUAACUCCUGAUUAUUUGACAAAAACUUGUUCUCGUAUUAGCUGAGUUUCUGAACCACAUUCCAAACCCAGAGGAAAAAAUAGCCAUGAAAGCUAUCACCCCAGCAGUCCUUGAUAACAAGGCUCAUUUGGGAAUCAUCUUUGAUACAGACGUUGAUGGGUAGUUUUUCGUGACCCUUGAAUCUAUAUUAAUUAUUUCCUAAUUUAUUUCAUUGUUCUUAUAAGUGCUUUUAGAUCUGCUGCUGUGGACUCUACUGGCAUUGAGUUCAAACAGAAUCUUCCAUUGUUCUUGAGGAAGCAAGCUAGAAUUCUUCUUAUUGCAUUACGGAUGACAAUUACAUUAUUUUCUCUCAUUAUACUCGUAUCCUUCUCCCCUCAUCAGUUUGACCUUUGGUGCAAACAACGCAGCCUGUGAAGAUCAAGCGUCAUCUUCAUUUAAUUUGGAGGGGUUGACAAGCUCAACACAUGUCAUUAUCCUAUUUCAGCUCCACUUCAGUUCCUACAGAGCUACAGUGCCUGGGGUCGAAAAAGACUGUUCUGCCCUCCUUUGAGAGCUGUGUAUCGAUGGAUCUUCUUCUCUCUUCUAGAGGGCAUCCCUCCCUCACACCCAAGUCAAAAUCCACCUCAAAACCCAAAAAGAGCAAAAGAGAGAGUUGUGAGCAGCAAGAACAGUGUUGACGACCAUAGCUUGACUUGGUUUGUUUAAAUCUCGGACUCCUCCUCCUCCUCUGCAAAUCAGCUCAGAGAAAGAGGCGAGAUGAAAGAAAGGGAGAAGAGAACCCGGGAAGAAGGAAGAGAAGGAGAAGAGACAAACCGGAAGCUCUUGACUAAAACAACACAAGUGGAAGUUUCGCAGCAGAAGAUAGUUUCUCUGUACGAGAGGUUCUGUCAGCUCGAUCACAGUGGCGGAGGUUUCAUCUUCGCCGACGAGUUUUUUGUCUGUACCGGAAUUCGCAGUCAAUCCUCUCUCUCAGUUUUGGCUGGGUGGACGUAGAUACUGGGGGAGAGAUGGAGCAAGACCAUACUUGCUCUCAGGAGAUGCUUCUGUAUCAACACCCAAUUUCCGUUUCUCAUCAGAGAGAUUUGAUCAAACAACAAAGCUACUUAGUUUUGGGGUGACUUGCUCUUAGGAGAUGCUUCUGUAUCAACACCCAAUUUCCUUUUCUCAUCAGAGACAUUUGAUCAAACAACAAAGCUACUUAGUUUUGGGGUGAAUUCAGAAAGAUAUUCAAGGGAGGAUUGGCAAAGAACAAGCGGUUCUUUGCUUUGCUCAGCUCACUGGCAUUGGUAAGCUUGUUCUUUGCUUUGCUCAGCUCACUGGCAUUGAUGCAGAGAGGGAAACUCUAUGUUGGAUAUUAUGUGGCUGUGAAGGGGUUCUCUGCUUUGCUUAUCAGCAUUGCAACAUUUCUCCCAUGUUGUGAGAGUCAUGGAUAAAUGUUACUUCAGAGAAUAAAGAUGGUUUUUCCUUUUCACAGAGACGAAGGAGCUGGUGAUAGUUUUUCUUGGAGAAAUUGAGCUCAUUUGAACAAAUAAGAAUAUCCCAUUGAGCUGGCACCCAUUUGAUCAAAUUGGGGGAUUUGAUUGAGCAAUCAGAGAUCUUUGAAGGAUUGAGCUCUGGUGUGAUUGUGGAAUCCCUGAAGGUGGUUAGCUUGCAAGGAUUUGCCUCAAUUUUGGAGCCUAACCUCUGCAGAAUUAUUUACGGCCCUGGGAUGUGUUGAAUUGGCGUUUCUGUUCUUGCUACCUUGGUCAAUUACAGUUUGCCAUCGUCUUCUGUUUUUGAUGACAAAGAGUGAGGGACCGUUGGUAUUAUUGGUUAGAUCGCCGCUAUCUGAUAGUGAGAGGAGAGAAAACAGAGAGAGAGAGAGGGAGAGAGUGAGAGUUCAGUUGAUAAGAGUCCAUGGAUCUGCAGAUGAGUCCACUUUAGUUGAAGAUGCAUUUGAGUCUGCCAAUGAAUUAGAUCAGUGCUAAACCCCCAUUGUAGAAACUUGAUACCAGCUUGCUUAAAAUAUCAGGUAUCAUUUAAUUGUGAAAGAAAGCUUUGGAGGAGAACAUAAUUGUGUAUCUGGAAACUGGUUGUGGAAAGACCUAAAUAGCCGUGUUGCUUAUGUAUGAACCAGUUGAUACUCAAACCUCAGAAGAACAUGUGUGCUAAAUCCUGAAGAUCUUUGUGGUAUAUAUGGAUCAAAUUGCUCCCAAUGGAUUAUUGCAAUGGAGUAUUAGAAAGAAUGUGGCUAUCAUGAAGCCUCAUGAAGCAGCCAAAUUAGUUGCAGAAUGAGAUUUUUCAUGUAAAAGGACACUCCCCUGAACUGAAAGAUUGAGUUUGCAAUACACCUGUUACAAGUUUUUCGUCGUUUAUAUUGCCGGGCAUACCAUUGGAAGCAUGGUAGGAAAUGUCAUGGAAUUUUCUGGCUUCAGCCAUCCGAGACAAGUUCGUCUUAGCAGGAGUACAACAUUUCUUUGAUUCUGUUGGAAAGUCAAUCUCCAAUGAGAGCUUCAAGGCUUGAUGGAAUAGAGCCGUAGACAGCGACAGAGAGAGCUAAGGAAACGACCUCGCAGCUUUCAAGUUUUGAGCUGCUUAACCAAAACAGAGCUUGCAGCGAUGGAGACAGAAACGGCGGCGAUUCUAAGCGACCUAGGGAGGAAUCAGUGAAUGAAUGUUGCAAGAAGAACUGAGUUAGUUCAAGCUAUUGCAAAUAAACUUUUCAAUUGGCCUUCGACUAUGGACUCUUUGCUUCGUCUACGGCUAGGAAUUUCAUCUGCUUUCAUUUUUCUUAAGCCCCAUCAAAGUAACAAUCUUUAAAAGGGAUUUUAGAAGAAUGGACUAAGAAGAACUUUCUUCUGGAUAACAAUCGAAUCAAACGAUUUUCUUAGUAACUACUUGGUGCCAGUUAUAACUGAGUUGAGAGGAAGUUGAUACCUGUGGAAACCUUUGUUGACAUUUUGAUUAGACUAUACAAAUUUGGGUGCAACUGUGCAAAGAAGAUGGUUGUGAUAAAUUUAGGACCUAUUGAAUGUAUACCCUUUCAGAGGGAAGUAAAUCUGCUAGCUAAUCCAGAUAAGUAUGCUGAAUUCCCAAAUCAAUUGGCACAGUCAUUCAACUCCAAGCUAAGGACCAAUAUAAUGAGCCUUAGAAUCUUAUAAACCUAUCACCGAAAACCAAAUAAGCUAUAUGUCCAAUUUCAGUUCAAUCACACCAAUUUGGAUAUUGUGUUGAUUUGAAAGAAGGUGAUGAAGGGCUUUGUUAAUGAUUAUCUCUCUCUCUCUCUCUCUUGAAAGUGGAAAAUGAUUGUUAUGGAAUAUGGUUAAAGUUUAGACUAGAUGCAUAACCUUUUACUUUCUUUUUUCUCCAACAAAGGGUGCCUUUGGAUGUGCAACACUACUUGAUAAAAGCCUACCAAUUGAAGAGGGUGAUGCUCGCUAUAUGCCUUCAGAGAUCCUGAAUGAGAAACAUGACGAUCUUGACAAGGCUGAUAUCUUCUCAUUGGGAGUUGCUAUGUAUGAGCCUAUUAGAGGUUCACCGUUACCGGAAGAAGGGCCUCAAACCUUAAAUCUUAAGAAAGGAAAAUUGCCACUGCUUCCUGGUCACUCCUUGCAACUUCAGAACUUGCUCAAGGCCAUGUUGGAUCCAAAUCCAGUCUGCAGACCAUCAGCUAAAGAGUUGGUUGAAAAUCUAAUGUUCCACAGGGUGCUAAAAAAUGUAUGGGCCUGGGACAACCACGAUUGCGAAUUGAAGAGAUUGGGGUAUAUUGUAUUAUAGUAUAUGUCAUCCUUUUGUGUCUGCCAGCCCAGUAAAAUAGGCAAAAGUAUGUGAAUGGCCAAUUUUGUAUCUAUAAUUCUCCCUCAUGUAUUAAUAUGCACCUAAUUUGAUAUUGAAAAACAAUUGCACAGCUAAAGAGAGAAGAACCAAUGUGAUGUUGAUUUCAUUCGAUAGAAA
Rosa rugosa (rugosa rose) is the source of this 4272-nucleotide long non-coding RNA. RefSeq lists it as uncharacterized. Lineage: Eukaryota; Viridiplantae; Streptophyta; Magnoliopsida; Rosales; Rosaceae. The record is from RefSeq and is a predicted model, not a curated record. The transcript is spliced from 21 exons.